RNAcentral lists this ribosomal RNA (942 nucleotides) under uncultured bacterium. RNAcentral describes it as "bacterial SSU rRNA". It matches the Rfam family "Bacterial small subunit ribosomal RNA", at positions 46 to 985 of the family's 1533-position model. The record is from RNAcentral.
GCUUCUUACCUGCAAGUCGAACGCGAAGGGGGGGCAACCCCCCGAGUAGAGUGGCGAACGGGUGAGUAAUACAUCGGAACGUGUCCAGUAGCGGGGGAUAACCCCUCGAAAGAGAGGCUAAUACCGCAUACGACCUACGGGUGAAAGAGGGGGAUCGCAAGACCUCUCACUAUUGGAGCGGCCGAUGUCGGAUUAGCUAGUUGGCGGGGUAAAGGCCCACCAAGGCGACGAUCCGUAGCUGGUCUGAGAGGACGACCAGCCACACUGGAACUGAGACACGGUCCAGACUCCUACGGGAGGCAGCAGUGGGGAAUUUUGGACAAUGGGCGCAAGCCUGAUCCAGCCAUGCCGCGUGGGUGAAGAAGGCCUUCGGGUUGUAAAGCCCUUUCGGCUGGGACGAAAAGGUCCGCGCUAACACCGCGGAUCCAUGACGGUACCAGCAGAAGGAGCACCGGCUAACUACGUGCCAGCAGCCGCGGUAAUACGUAGGGUGCAGGCGUUAAUCGGAAUUACUGGGCGUAAAGCGUGCGCAGGCGGUUUGCUAAGACAGGUGUGAAAUCCCCGGGCUUAACCUGGGAACUGCGCUUGUAACUGGCAGGCUGGAGUGUGGCAGAGGGGGGUGGAAUUCCACGUGUAGCAGUGAAAUGCGUAGAGAUGUGGAGGAACACCGAUGGCGAAGGCAGCCCCCUGGGCUAACACUGACGCUCAUGCACGAAAGCGUGGGGAGCAAACAGGAUUAGAUACCCUGGUAGUCCACGCCCUAAACUAUGUCAACUGGUUGUCGGGGAAGCAAUUCCUUGGUAACGAAGCUAACGCGUGAAGUUGACCGCCUGGGGAGUACGGCCGCAAGGUUAAAACUCAAAGGAAUUGACGGGGACCCGCACAAGCGGUGGAUUAUGUGGAUUAAUUCGAUGCAACGCGAAAACCUUACCUACCCUUGAC